UGGGGAAUAUUGGGCAAUGGAGGGAACUCUGACCCAGCCAUGCCGCGUGCAGGAUGAAGGCGUUAUGCGUUGUAAACUGCUUUUAUAUAGGAAGAAAUAGUCCUUGCGAGGAAAGUUGACGGUACUAUAUGAAUAAGCACCGGCUAACUCCGUGCCAGCAGCCGCGGUAAUACGGAGGGUGCAAGCGUUGUCCGGAUUUAUUGGGUUUAAAGGGUGCGUAGGCGGUUUAUUAAGUCAGUGGUGAAAGACGGUCGCUCAACGAUUGCAGUGCCAUUGAUACUGGUAGACUUGAGUAUGAUUGAGGUAGCUGGAAUGGAUAGUGUAGCGGUGAAAUGCAUAGAUAUUAUCCAGAACACCAAUUGCGUAGGCAAGUUACUAAGUCAUAACUGACGCUGAGGCACGAAAGUGUGGGUAUCAAACAGGAUUAGAUACCCCAGUAGUCCCUGAGCGGGCUGGCAAGGCGCAU
This 466-nucleotide ribosomal RNA is filed under the name uncultured bacterium. Its description in RNAcentral is "bacterial SSU rRNA". It matches the Rfam family "Bacterial small subunit ribosomal RNA", at positions 355 to 825 of the family's 1533-position model. The record is from RNAcentral.